RNAcentral lists this small RNA (1999 nucleotides) under Histoplasma capsulatum. RNAcentral's name for it is "hypothetical RNA". The record is from RNAcentral. Lineage: Eukaryota; Fungi; Ascomycota; Eurotiomycetes; Onygenales; Ajellomycetaceae. RNAcentral also lists the same sequence under 1 other name.
GGUUGCGCUUUUCUUAGGGUCUGCCUCAGUCGCAAGACCGCGGCUUAGGAUUCUGGCUCCGACUGGCCGGCAUUGUGCAAGCUUGGGAGCAAAAAUGUCAAUUAAGCACCGGGAUCCAUACUCAAUUAAGGGACAGGGCUACCAACCUUGCGUGGAGCGACUGCUCUUUGGCAGAGGUGCUGCCGCAUCAUUUUGGAGAUAUCUGCAGCUCCUUCAGAAGUCGGGGUUGGCUUCUGGCGCUGUUGCAAUAUUUGAGUCUAUGGGGCGAUACUGUACGGAUUACGGAGAAUAUGGGCUUGCAUUCUCUCACUUUCUGGGAUUGAAGGACGAGAUGCGUAAGAGAUAGAUUUGGUGGAUAGCAAUCAGAGAUUAUGAUACAACUCUCAUCGUACAAGAUUGAGAUGAACAAAUUAUGUCAUUGGCAAACUUUGGUAAAGGGACCUCCCAAAAAGAUCAAAAUGAAAGCAAAUCAUCAAUUAUGUCAAGUGUCAGGGGGCAACGGAAAGCCCAUCAGUUCAUGCUAUGUUCUCAUAUGUUCUCAUUUGCUGUCUCCACCGCCCUGUUCCGUAUCAGCUCUAAGCUCGUAGCACAGGUCAUAACAUUGCGCAAGGAGUUCGUUGACGCUCCCUUGGCCUUCAGGUAAGUCGUUUCCAACAUAAAAUUUCCCAUCAACUCUCAUGUUAUCAAUGGAAUUGAGCUUCAUACUAUACGGGUAGAGUUCUCUGGCAUUAGAAACCCCGCCGGACUCCUUAACUUCAAUUAAACAUUUCCUCAAUGUCUGGAGUUGGUUAUAUAUAGGUAGAAGUGCUUCUGAGACUGGUUCAGACGAGAUAAGCAAACCAUAAAUUAAAGCAUAGCUCCGUCGAAUCAGAUACAGAAGUGUCCUUUGAGCGUGAAUGUCGGCUGGUUUCCCAUCGCCAUCCAAGAAAUUUCCAUCAACCCGGGAUUCGUCAAUCUUGUUAAGAUUUCUCUGAUACAUAAACAAAUCAGUUUCUCGUAGCGACCACGCCUGGGUCAUGACAAGUCUAUCGAGUUGGUUUCGAAUCUCUAGGAGUUUGCUAUAGGGCUCCUGAAACCGUUCAUCGAUUUUACCUUUCCUUUCGAGUACAAUUUCCGACCAUUUCAAACAUCUAUCCAACAAAGCUUUCACGAGUUCUUGACCUUCAGGGAUCGAGCCAUGAGGGCCUACAAAGUUACCGUCUUCCAUUGAACCCUGUAUGGCUUUGAGCUGCUCCUGGAAGCUCAUGACCUCAGAGGCAGAAAACUUUGAACGAGUGUUUGCAGCCGAUGUAGACCGCAAAAUGGAAACCAGUGUUUCAUGAGUCGGGGCGAGCUCAGGAGACAAGAACGAAAGUCCAUACUGAAGUUCAGCUAAUUGCUUUCGGCAUGUUUCUAACCGAAGUUCCAAAAGCUUCAAUAUAUCCGGUGAAUAUGUUUCUUUUCCUCUAUUAAUGUUCUCCUGCAUGGUAUCCAACGUCUUCGCGAUUGAGUCCAAGUCCUUCUGGCUAAAAAAUGCGGCUUCUUUUAGGUGGUCAAGGAGGCGCUUAAUUGUUGAAGCCAUCGCAUAUGCUGCGGGUGCUUCAUUGUUCCUUCCAACGGUAAGAAAUAGCAAUGAGAUCAGCUGGAAGCAAUCAUCCAGCACAUUGUCAACUCGAUUAUGCUCUAACGUAUGUUCCGUUCGGAGGGCGUUCAGCCUCUGGACUUGCUCGACGACCUGGUCAUGAUAAUGCAGCACAUCCUGGGACUUGAUAUACCUCGAUUUAUCUUGUUUGAGGAGCAGGAGGGCGUCUCGAAUUACGAGGAGCUGGUCAAGGAUAGGCUGUUCUCGCGGAUCUAGCGGGAUGGAUACGGCGGGGGAAUCGGCCAUAUUUCGAUAAAGUGGCGCCCUUUCAUGCGCCAGUAAAUUGGAGUCACGACUAGUCCAAGAACAACAAGGAAUGAAUUUCAGUCAAAUACAAGUAAACAUAGAUGUUAUGUAGUUAAGUGCCUUAGAUGUUGU